AUUGUUUCUUCGGAAAUGAGAGAGCGGCGUACGGGUGCGGAACACGUGUGCAACUGCCUUUAUCUGGGGAUAGCCUUUCGAAAGGAAGAUUAAUACUCCAUAAUAUAUUGAACGGCAUCGUUUAAUAUUGAAAGCUCCGGCGGAUAGAGAUGGGCACGCGCAAGAUUAGCUAGUUGGUGAGGUAACGGCUCACCAAGGCGAUGAUCUUUAGGGGCCUGAGAGGGUGAUCCCCCACACUGGUACUGAGACACGGACCAGACUCCUACGGGAGGCAGCAGUGAGGAAUAUUGGUCAAUGGGUGCAAGCCUGAACCAGCCAUCCCGCGUGAAGGACGACUGCCCUAUGGGUUGUAAACUUCUUUUGUAUAGGGAUAAACCUACCCUCGUGAGGGUAGCUGAAGGUACUAUACGAAUAAGCACCGGCUAACUCCGUG
This 433-nucleotide ribosomal RNA is filed under the name uncultured bacterium. Its description in RNAcentral is "bacterial SSU rRNA". It matches the Rfam family "Bacterial small subunit ribosomal RNA", at positions 71 to 507 of the family's 1533-position model. The record is from RNAcentral.